This is a long non-coding RNA of Arabidopsis thaliana (thale cress), 212 nucleotides long. RefSeq annotates it as other RNA. The record is from RefSeq. Lineage: Eukaryota; Viridiplantae; Streptophyta; Magnoliopsida; Brassicales; Brassicaceae. The transcript has a single exon.
AGCGUUUUGUUCUCGAGAGAGGAUAUAUAUAGGCAUUAUGCUUGUGGUUAGGUUCUUGUAAUAAAUCAAAGUUUUUGUGUAAUAUAUCAGAGAAUUUGAAUUAAUUAAGGCAACUCUGUCGAGGCACAUCAUUUUCUGUGUUUAAUUGAUGGAGAAGGAGAAUACCACUAAAAAAAGACACGUUAAAUAUAAAGCUCUCUCCCUCUAAACCA